UACGGGAGCAGCAGUAGGGAAUAUUGCACAAUGGGGGAAACCCUGAUGCAGCGACGCCGCGUGAGUGAUGAAGUAUUUCGGUACGUAAAACUCUAUCAGCAGGGAAGAUAAUGACGGUACCUGACUAAGAAGCCCCGGCUAACUACGUGCCAGCAGCCGCGGUAAU
This 166-nucleotide ribosomal RNA is filed under the name uncultured rumen bacterium. RNAcentral's name for it is "partial 16S ribosomal RNA". It matches the Rfam family "Bacterial small subunit ribosomal RNA", at positions 340 to 524 of the family's 1533-position model. The record is from RNAcentral.